Molecule: RNase P RNA, 326 nt
Filed under: uncultured Dialister sp.
Lineage: Bacteria; Bacillati; Bacillota; Negativicutes; Veillonellales; Veillonellaceae
Description: Bacterial RNase P class A
Rfam family: Bacterial RNase P class A
About the family: Ribonuclease P (RNase P) is a ubiquitous endoribonuclease, found in archaea, bacteria and eukarya as well as chloroplasts and mitochondria. Its best characterised activity is the generation of mature 5'-ends of tRNAs by cleaving the 5'-leader elements of precursor-tRNAs. Cellular RNase Ps are ribonucleoproteins.
Source: RNAcentral
AAAAGAUGAUCGCGGGCCGCAAGGCGUGAGGAAAGUCCGAGCUUCGCAGGGCAGGAUGCCGGAUAACGUCCGGCGAGGGUGACCUCAGGGAAAGUGCCAUAGAAAAGGAGACCGCCACGCAAGUGGUAAGGGUGGAAAGGUGCGGUAAGAGCGCACCAGCAGUCAGGAGACUGGCUGGCUUGGUAAACCCCAUCCGAAGUAAGACCGAAUAGGGAAGGGAUGAAGUUGCCCGCCGACCUUCCGGGUAGAGUCGCUUGAGCAAAUGGGCAACCGUUUGUCUAGAUAGAUGAUCAUCGCGUGGAAACGAACAGAACUCGGCUUAUUGA